GUGGAGGGAACUUUCCCAGGCCCCGAGGCGGAUCGGGUAUUGAGUCCAUGGAGCGAGCUGAGAGCUAGAGUACAGAACCUGCUAAGGCCAUCAAACCUAUCGAUCGGAAGUCAGUCCAUCAGAUUUGCUCUGGGCCGGUGGUACUGAGUCUAAGCACUGCGGUGAAGGAGUUAGUAGAAAACAGUCUGGAUGCUGGUGCCACCAAUAUUGAUCUAAAGCUUAAGGACUAUGGAGUGGAUCUCAUUGAAGUUUCAGACAAUGGAUGUGGGGUAGAAGAAGAAAACUUUGAAGGCUUAACGAUGUCACCAUUUCUACCUGCCACGCAUCGGCGAAGGUUGGGACUCGACUGGUGUUUGAUCACGAUGGGAAAAUCAUCCAGAAAACCCCCUACCCCCACCCCAGAGGGACCACAGUCAGCGUGAAGCAGUUAUUUUCUACACUACCUGUGCACCAUAAGGAAUUUCAAAGGAAUAUUAAGAAGACGUGCCUGUUUCCCCUUCGCCUUCUGCCGUGAUUGUCAGUUUCCUGAGGCCUCCCCAGCCAUGCUUCCUGUACAGCCUGCAGAACUGUACCAUAAAAGUGACCUUCAAAGAUGAGGCUGAAGCAAUUUAUAGUCUCACCAGGUGUAUGAGAGUACUUACUUCUUCACUAAUUUUUUAUCUAUAUUUAAGAGCUGUGUGGAUUUCAUUAAAGGAUUUGUUUCUUUUCCUUAUUUUUCUAUUUUCUUAUUUUCUAUUGGCUUAUAGGUCUUUAUUUAAUGAUUGGCAGUAGUAUUUUCAGUAUGUUUAGGACAUUUUAGUACCAACUUUAAACAUUUUUUAAAAGUGUACCAACUUUAUUCACUUUAUUAACUUUAAUUUCUUUUAAAAUUGUAUUUAAAAAGUCUUUUUUUUUUUCAGAAUUAUUCAAUCUCAAAACACACCAUUAUGUAAGUGGGAAAAAUUCAAGGAAAGAAUAGGAGGCUGGAUAAAUAUUUUAUAAAGUCUAAAGGCAAAGAACAAGGUGAUAUGGUUUGGCUGGGUCCCCACCCAAAUCUCAUCUUGAAUUCCCACAUGUUGUGGGGGGACCUGGUAGGAGGUAACUGAAUCAUGGGGCAAGUGUUUCCCAUGCUGUUCUCAUGAUAGUGAAUAAGUCUCACGAGAGCUGAUGGCUUCAAAAAGUGGGGUUCCCCUGCACAAGUUCUCUCAUUUUUUUUGCCUGCCACCAUCCAUGUAAGAUGUGACUUGCUCCUCCUUGCCUUCCAUCAUGAUUGCGAGGCUUCUCCAGCCAUGUGGAACUGUAAGUCCCAUUAAACCUCUUUGUUUUGUGAA
Long non-coding RNA from Homo sapiens (human), 1310 nucleotides. Ensembl annotates it as PMS1 homolog 2, mismatch repair system component pseudogene 4. Its record names the gene PMS2P4. Lineage: Eukaryota; Metazoa; Chordata; Mammalia; Primates; Hominidae. The record is from Ensembl.